RNAcentral lists this ribosomal RNA (331 nucleotides) under uncultured bacterium. RNAcentral's name for it is "bacterial SSU rRNA". It matches the Rfam family "Bacterial small subunit ribosomal RNA", at positions 568 to 898 of the family's 1533-position model. The record is from RNAcentral.
CGCGUAGGCGGCCAACUUUGUCAGGCGUGAAAGCCCCGGGCUCAACCUGGGAAUUGCGCUUGGGACGGGUUGGCUUGAGUUCGGGAGAGGAGAGUGGAAUUCCCAGUGUAGAGGUGAAAUUCGUAGAUAUUGGGAAGAACACCGGUGGCGAAGGCGGCUCUCUGGACCGAUACUGACGCUGAGGCGCGAAAGCGUGGGGAGCAAACAGGAUUAGAUACCCUGGUAGUCCACGCUGUAAACGAUGUGUGCUAGACGUUGGGGAGCCUAGCUCUUCGGUGUCGCAGCUAACGCGAUAAGCACACCGCCUGGGGAGUACGGCCGCAAGGUUAAA